GUCCUUGUCGUUCAAUGGAUAGGACAUGAGUUUGCGGAACUCAAAAUGUAGGUUCGAUUCCUACCAGGGGCACCA
This 75-nucleotide transfer RNA is filed under the name Candidatus Tayloriibacteriota bacterium. RNAcentral describes it as "tRNA-Arg". It matches the Rfam family "tRNA". From Rfam's summary of the family: Transfer RNA (tRNA) molecules are approximately 80 nucleotides in length. Their secondary structure includes four short double-helical elements and three loops (D, anti-codon, and T loops). The record is from RNAcentral. Lineage: Bacteria; Candidatus Tayloriibacteriota.